Molecule: small RNA, 29 nt
Filed under: Bombyx mori (domestic silkworm)
Lineage: Eukaryota; Metazoa; Arthropoda; Insecta; Lepidoptera; Bombycidae
Description: ovarian small RNA-11073
Source: RNAcentral
ACACUUGUGACACUGCACGAAGGGUGUGA